GGGAGCAACGCGUGGGUAACCUGCCUCAUACAGGGGGAUAACAGUUAGAAAUGGCUGCUAAUACCGCAUAAGACCACAGUACUGCAUGGUACAGUGGUAAAAACUCCGGUGGUAUGAGAUGGACCCGCGUCUGAUUAGGUAGUUGGUGAGGUAACGGCCCACCAAGCCGACGAUCAGUAGCCGACCUGAGAGGGUGACCGGCCACAUUGGGACUGAGACACGGCCCAG
Molecule: ribosomal RNA, 228 nt
Filed under: uncultured bacterium
Lineage: Bacteria
Description: partial 16S ribosomal RNA
Rfam family: Bacterial small subunit ribosomal RNA
Source: RNAcentral